This 180-nucleotide ribosomal RNA is filed under the name uncultured Glomeromycotina. RNAcentral's name for it is "partial small subunit ribosomal RNA". The stretch from base 88 to 180 matches the Rfam family "Eukaryotic small subunit ribosomal RNA", at positions 735 to 830 of the family's 1831-position model. The record is from RNAcentral. Lineage: Eukaryota; Fungi; Glomeromycota.
GCCCUGGCUGGGCGGUCUGCCUCACGGUAUGUACUGUCUGGCUGGGGCUUACCUCUUGGUGAGCUUGCAUGUCGUUUACUCGGCGUGUAAGGGAACCAGGACUUUUACCUUGAGAAAAUUAGAGUGUUUAAAGCAGGCAUAAGCUUGAAUACGUUAGCAUGGAAUAAUAGAAUAGGACUU